This 465-nucleotide ribosomal RNA is filed under the name Vreelandella stevensii. RNAcentral's name for it is "partial 16S ribosomal RNA". It matches the Rfam family "Bacterial small subunit ribosomal RNA", at positions 338 to 795 of the family's 1533-position model. Lineage: Bacteria; Pseudomonadati; Pseudomonadota; Gammaproteobacteria; Oceanospirillales; Halomonadaceae. The record is from RNAcentral.
CCUACGGGGGGCUGCAGUGGGGAAUAUUGGACAAUGGGCGAAAGCCUGAUCCAGCCAUGCCGCGUGUGUGAAGAAGGCCUUCGGGUUGUAAAGCACUUUCAGUGGGGAAGAAAGCCUUGGGGCUAAUACCCUCGAGGAAGGACAUCACCCACAGAAGAAGCACCGGCUAACUCCGUGCCAGCAGCCGCGGUAAUACGGAGGGUGCGAGCGUUAAUCGGAAUUACUGGGCGUAAAGCGCGCGUAGGCGGUCUGAUAAGCCGGUUGUGAAAGCCCCGGGCUCAACCUGGGAACGGCAUCCGGAACUGUCAGGCUAGAGUGCAGGAGAGGAAGGUGGAAUUCCCGGUGUAGCAGUGAAAUGCGUAGAGAUCGGGAGGAAUACCAGUGGCGAAGGCGGCCUUCUGGACUGACACUGACGCUGAGGUGCGAAAGCGUGGGUAGCAAACAGGAUUAGAUACCCCGGUAGUC